Molecule: transfer RNA, 86 nt
Filed under: Zoogloeaceae bacterium
Lineage: Bacteria; Pseudomonadati; Pseudomonadota; Betaproteobacteria; Rhodocyclales; Zoogloeaceae
Description: tRNA-Tyr
Rfam family: tRNA
About the family: Transfer RNA (tRNA) molecules are approximately 80 nucleotides in length. Their secondary structure includes four short double-helical elements and three loops (D, anti-codon, and T loops). Further hydrogen bonds mediate the characteristic L-shaped molecular structure. tRNAs have two regions of fundamental functional importance: the anti-codon, which is responsible for specific mRNA codon recognition, and the 3' end, to which the tRNAs corresponding amino acid is attached (by aminoacyl-tRNA synthetases). tRNAs cope with the degeneracy of the genetic code in two manners: having more than one tRNA (with a specific anti-codon) for a particular amino acid; and 'wobble' base-pairing, i.e. permitting non-standard base-pairing at the 3rd anti-codon position.
Source: RNAcentral
GGAGGGGUUCCCGAGCGGUCAAAGGGAUCAGACUGUAAAUCUGACGGCACUGUCCUUCGAAGGUUCGAAUCCUUCCCCCUCCACCA